UACUAUUUCGGCCAUGUUGGUGCGCUAUUUUUAAAUUUAAUAAUAGCCUGAAAAGGGAAUCUGGUGUGAAUCCAGAGCUGACGCGCAACGGUAAGAGAGAGCUAGGUAAUAGGCAUCAUCCAAACGGUUGUUUUUCUGUAUAUAAGGAUAUAGGAAAAAUAAUGGGAAGUGACUCCCGCCUAAGUUCAUUAUUCUCAAGUCCGAAGACCUGCCAACAAUAAGCAAUACAUG
RNAcentral lists this non-coding RNA (231 nucleotides) under Aliivibrio salmonicida LFI1238. Lineage: Bacteria; Pseudomonadati; Pseudomonadota; Gammaproteobacteria; Vibrionales; Vibrionaceae. The record is from RNAcentral.